This 487-nucleotide ribosomal RNA is filed under the name uncultured bacterium. RNAcentral's name for it is "partial 16S ribosomal RNA". It matches the Rfam family "Bacterial small subunit ribosomal RNA", at positions 28 to 507 of the family's 1533-position model. The record is from RNAcentral.
GAUGAACGCUAGCGAUAGGCUUAACACAUGCAAGUCGAGGGGCAGCACAAGGUAGCUUGCUCUCUGGGUGGCGACCGGCGCACGGGUGCGUAACGCGUAUGCAACUUGCCCUAUACAGGAGGAUAACCCGUCGAAAGACGGACUAAUACUGCGUAUGCUCACAACUUGGCAUCAAGUGGUGAGGAAAGAAAUUCGGUAUAGGAUAGGCAUGCGUCCCAUUAGCUUGUUGGUGAGGUAACGGCUCACCAAGGCAACGAUGGGUAGGGGAACUGAGAGGUUUAUCCCCCACACUGGUACUGAGGCACGGACCAGAAUCCUACGGGAGGCAGCAGUGAGGAAUAUUGGUCAAUGGAGGCGAGCCUGAACCAGCCAAGUCGCGUGAAGGAGGACUGUCUUAUGGAUUGUAAACUUCUUUUAUACGGGAAUAACAAGAGUCACGUGUGACUCCCUGCAUGUACCGUAUGAAUAAGCAUCGGCUAACUCCGUG